RNAcentral lists this ribosomal RNA (468 nucleotides) under uncultured bacterium. RNAcentral describes it as "partial 16S ribosomal RNA". It matches the Rfam family "Bacterial small subunit ribosomal RNA", at positions 28 to 507 of the family's 1533-position model. The record is from RNAcentral.
GACGAACGCUGGCGGCGUGCUUAACACAUGCAAGUCGAACGGAAAGGCCCUGCUUUUGUGGGGUGCUCGAGUGGCGAACGGGUGAGUAACACGUGAGUAACCUGCCCUUGACUUUGGGAUAACUUCAGGAAACUUGGGCUAAUACCGGAUAGGAGCUCCUGCUGCAUGGUGGGGGUUGGAAAGUUUCGGCGGUUGGGGAUGGACUCGCGGCUUAUCAGCUUGUUGGUGGGGUAGUGGCUUACCAAGGCUUUGACGGGUAGCCGGCCUGGGAGGUUGACCGGAAAAAGGGGGAGGGAGAUGCGACCAGGACCCGAAGGGGAGGAGGCGGGGGGGAGGAGGAAAAAAGGGGCGGAGCCAUGAGACGGAACCGCGGCGGGGGGGAGAAGGGCAUGGGGUUAGGAACCGACUUUCGCUGGGGAGGAGGCGGGAGGGACGGUAAGGGGAAAAGAAGACCCGGCAAACUACGUG